Molecule: non-coding RNA, 1691 nt
Organism: Oncorhynchus mykiss (rainbow trout)
Lineage: Eukaryota; Metazoa; Chordata; Actinopteri; Salmoniformes; Salmonidae
Source: RefSeq, a predicted model, not a curated record
AGGCUACUGUAUUUGUAAUUGGAGGAGUUGCUACACUAAUGAGGAAUGUAUGGUAUUUUAAGGCUCACACAGAUUUCAUGUUGGCUCUCACUUAGAACAUUUUUUUUUGUCUGGGAAGUUUGAAUCAUGGACACAGCGUCUUGUUCACUCCAUUUAGCUUGCCAUAUUUUAAUUUGCAGGCUCCCAGCAGAUUCACCAGGGACCGCCACUUGUGAGGAUGGAGCUCUCAAACAAUACCUCUCUUUCCCUCCCUCACCUCUCCUCUUGGCAGGAUGGAGGGAUUGCUUGACCAGUGGCUAUGGAAAGAGGAGUACUGGCUGCCUCCAGGGUUUACCUGGAAGGACAUAGAGAUGGAGGAGGGGACCGGUACCCUCUACCCCAGGACCUGCUCUACAACCUGCCUCUAGCCCUGGGCUUCAUUGCCCUGCACUAUGUAUUUGAGAGGGCCAUAGCCAUCCCACUGAGCAGACAGCUGGGGGUGAGAGACAGGGUGUGGAUUCGAGCCCCAUCUGUCCCAAAGCUGGAGACCUUUUAUAAACGGAACAAACAUCAACCCUCACAGACCCCCUAGUUCUGGGACCACAGCGAGUGCUGGCGAGGCUACCCAAAACAACCUGUCGCUGAGGCUCACUAUUGGUAUUACAUCACAGAGCUUAGUUUCUAUUGGUCCCUGCUGUUCUGUGUCUGUGGAUGUAAAGCGGAAGGUAUGUGUCACUUCUGUCACCUCACACACUCUCCUGUCAUCUCACACAAACUCUCCUGUUAACUCACACAAACUCUCCUGUCCCCUCACACAAACUACUGUCAUUUAGCAGACGCUCGAUUUACAAUCAGAGCAUUAAUCUUAAAAUAACUAGGUGAGGCAACAUCAAAGAUGUGAACACAUUUUUAUGACCUAAUGAUUAAUUGUUAUCUAAGAGGAUGUUUGUUUCAGUAUAAAUUAAGCUGGACAUUCUACCAUUCGUCAGUGUUCAGUCUAUUUAGAGAAUCCUGGAUUAUGGUUCAAAAUGUUCAAAAAGCUCUAUAACAAAUCAUGUGGGAUAUGAUUUUAGCUAAUGGCAUGGCAACAAAGAAACUUUCUCCACACACACACACAUAGUGACUCUAAACCGCAGGACGGCCUCAGCUUUCAUAGGAAAACCAUUACUUUCCAUUCCAGAUUAUAGUUGGUGUUCACAGCAGAUUUCCAGCUUGUUUUGCUGAAACUUCCUUUUCAUUUUUGUAGAGUCGUGUUUCCUCAAAGGAACUGCCUGCAGAGGUGGUUGAUGUUUUCAAUGAUAACUAGAGUAUGUAUCUGGAUGUUGUCCACUGAGGUUUAGUAAUUAUACACUAGUCCUGCCCUUCAGGACCCAGGUUACCUGCUCCCUGCCAAGCCUUCCCUUCCUCUCCUCAUUCAAAUGGGCAACUGAAAGGUCACUUAUUUGAAUCCCCAAGCCGACAAGGUGAAAAGGGAGAGUUUGGGAUCUGCAAAAAACACAUUUUCAAUUCACACAUUAGUAUUAAUACACACUUGUACAUGUGUGAAAAUAGGACAAUUAUAAGCACCCACCUAAUUAGUAUGGUUAUUCUCUCCUGCUAUUCCCUCUGCUGUACUGAUAAAAUAUCUACCUGUAAUCUUUCCACAGAUUGUCACGUACGGUGCAUUCGGAAACUAUUCAGACCCCUUGAUUUUUUUUCCACAUUUUGUUACA